Long non-coding RNA from Armigeres subalbatus, 1503 nucleotides. RefSeq lists it as uncharacterized. The transcript is spliced from 5 exons. Lineage: Eukaryota; Metazoa; Arthropoda; Insecta; Diptera; Culicidae. The record is from RefSeq and is a predicted model, not a curated record.
UCUGACUAUCUGAGCGCUAAAAACAAAAUGGAGUUAGUUUUCAAGUGUUUGUUUCUCGCGGUUCCCGUGCGUUCCUCAGAACAAUUUAAUUUAGAAUAUUAACAGAACAAAUUAAUUUAGAAAACCCGCAUCUACACGAGAAUCGUCUAUUAUUUUAAACAUCGUAAACAAACAUCUGUUCUUCGAUCAGCCAUCGAAGUGUGGUCUCUGUCGCUUAUCAAGUUGCGAGAGAUGAAAACAGCGGACCUCUUGAGGGAAGAUACGAAUACUGGAUGAUCGCAAGGCGGAAACGAGUCGGAUGUUACACGGCCACAGUGGUCCCGUGUAUCGCACUGCAUUCUUGCCGGACCGCACCGUGCUUCUGUUAUGUUCGGAGGACUGUACCGUUCGCCUGUGGUUGCUGCAUACCUGGAUCUGCGUGGUGGUGAAGGUCAUCAGUUCCCUAUUUGGGACGUUCGCCUCUCGCCUUACGGACAUUAUUUUCUCAGUUGCUUGCAUGGCAAAACCGCCCGACUGUGGUCCACGAAUUCCUACCAGCCACUGAGAAUCUUUGUGGGGCACCUAUCCGACGUUGAAAUCAAUCUACGUAGCUACCGGGCACCGGCGUUUUCCAUUUGCGGUCGCUAUCUGGCCUCAGGUUCGGUUGAUUGUCGUGUCUGGUUUGGGACCUAGCCAAUGAUCAUCUAAUCGCGGCUCUCUGCGGUCACUUGGCGUCGCACUAUGCUUCAGCUGUAAUGGAACCUUGCUGGCUACCGGCGGACUUUUCCAAAUUGUGCGAAGAUAUCAGCGGAAAGCAACUCGUUCCUGUGAUAUUGUGGUACCCGGCUGAUGCUGAUGGAGAUAGGAAGAAGAUUUUUGACAGGAAGGCUUAAACAAUCGUUCGGCAGAAGAAUCAGCAAGCGCAUCCAUAGAACCGACACGACCCAGAAUUUAUGUUUGAGGACCAUAUAAAAGACUAUUUGAACCAUCAAAAGACUUCAAGGCGAACGUUGCCGAAGUACUCGGAGAGAAACUUUUGAAGACGGCACUCGUAGAGACGGUGAUAAAAAAGCCCACCUAGGGGCUGAGAAUGACCUCUUGACUACAGGAGCGAAAAAAGAAAUGCGACAGACAGCGUCAGUGCAUCGAAGUGGAAAAGUCUCGUCAUGAAGCGGAUGAACGACGGCUGGCUGAGGAAGGAGAAUAAAACUGCUGGGCAAACAGAAAGAAUACACAUCCAUUCCGGUUACGCUGUUUGGAACCUGAGAAACCACGAUUCUGGCAACGAGCUGACUGACGAAAAAACAGUACCGGAAGUUGGAUACACCCUAGAUACACAGGAAAGUUUCAGUUUAGUUAGGAGUUUUGUUGUUGAAUGGGAAGGAUCUCAGGUCGUUGGACAGAGGCCUUCCUACACGUCUUAAAAUGCAAUGUAUGAUGCAACCACACAUUGGCACAAUUUCAGUUGCACAAAACAGUUCUUAACGGUGCCAAGGCAAGGAUUUUGCACUGGCUGAAGAUGAC